UGGCACUGUCACGUGGUGAAAUACUUGAACCAAUGCCAGACAAACUGAUGCGAAAGCGUCUGCCAAGGAUGUUUUCAUUAAUCAAGAACGAAAGUUAGGGGAUCGAAGACGAUUAGAUACCGUCGUAGUCUUAACCAUAAACUAUGCCAACUCGGGAUCAGGCAAUGUUUUUUAUUUUAAUGACUUGCUUGGCACCGA
RNAcentral lists this ribosomal RNA (198 nucleotides) under Smittium culicis. RNAcentral describes it as "partial small subunit ribosomal RNA". It matches the Rfam family "Eukaryotic small subunit ribosomal RNA", at positions 897 to 1089 of the family's 1831-position model. The record is from RNAcentral. Lineage: Eukaryota; Fungi; Kickxellomycota; Harpellomycetes; Harpellales; Legeriomycetaceae.